UACGGGGGGGGGCAAGCGUUGUUCGGAAUUACUGGGCGUAAAGGGCUCGUAGGCGGCCAACUAAGUCAUACGUGAAAUCCCUCGGCUUAACCGGGGAACUGCGUCUGAUACUGGAUGGCUUGAGUUCGGGAGAGGGAUGCGGAAUUCCAGGUGUAGCGGUGAAAUGCGUAGAUAUCUGGAGGAACACCUAUGGCGAAGGCAGGUUACUGGGCCGUCACUGACGCUGAGCUGCGAAAGCUAGGGGAGCAAACAGG
RNAcentral lists this ribosomal RNA (254 nucleotides) under uncultured bacterium. Its description in RNAcentral is "partial 16S ribosomal RNA". It matches the Rfam family "Bacterial small subunit ribosomal RNA", at positions 524 to 776 of the family's 1533-position model. The record is from RNAcentral.